RNAcentral lists this non-coding RNA (30 nucleotides) under Homo sapiens (human). The record is from RNAcentral. Lineage: Eukaryota; Metazoa; Chordata; Mammalia; Primates; Hominidae.
UGGCAAUGUCUGGAGGCAGUUUUGGUUGUC